RNAcentral lists this long non-coding RNA (1032 nucleotides) under Strigops habroptila (Kakapo). RNAcentral describes it as "lncRNA (ENSSHBG00005010701.1)". Lineage: Eukaryota; Metazoa; Chordata; Aves; Psittaciformes; Psittacidae. The record is from RNAcentral.
UGUUUCUUGGAUGUAUGACAUUAUAACAAGGUAAUUUCAUUCUAAUAUUACAUAUUCAUGGAUGUGAGCAUCUUAUAAUUAUUAAUGAAUAAAAGUGCAUCCUAUAUUUAUUUGGUUUAAAGGAGACCUUUUGAAAAUUAAGCAGUUAUUACUGGCAAUUGUACUGGUGUCCAUCUUAUAUUUUGCAGAAAUACUGCUGACCCCAGUGAAGAAAGAAAGACUGCAUGCAGAAAUACCAACUUUUAGGAGCAAACUGGACAGUUUUCAAAAAAUACUGCUGACCCCAGAGAAGAAAGAAAGACUGCAUGCAGAAAUACCAACUUUUAGGAGUGAAAUGGAUGAUUUUCAAAGUAAGGACUUGGUUUAGAAAUUAAUGCAAAAAGCCCUUACCAUCCAAAUAAUUCUUUUGCAGAACUUUACCGUGGGAGGCUGUGGAUAGGGAAUUAUGUUGUGGGGGGGGUUUCUGUAGAUUCUGUGAAAAAAUCUGUAUAUCAAUAGGCCAGAAAAAUGCUAUUUUGUAAUCAUUAAAUUGUGUUAUGCACAUUAGUUCACAACGAAUUUGUCUGGCACUUGCUUUGAAGAUACUUCUUUGAAUCCUGACAGGGUUGCUUCCAUGCCAUCUGCUAUUUUCAGUUUUGUGGUGUUAAUUUUUAAGAUGGAGAGGUAUAGACAGGGCCAGAGCACCGUACAGUUCCUGUUCCCGGAUUGAGCAUCACUUUAUUAUACAUUUAUAGCCAUGUUAUCCUGUCAUACCUGUUUCUGUUCCAGCUUGGAGCUCUGCUAAGGACUUGUGCCUCUGUGUCCUGAAUAGCUAAAAGGGUAAACCUUAAUGUAUACAUCAAUACUAGAGCAAGUAACUGAAAACAACCUGUCAGAAAAUUAAGUACAGGAGAUCUGUUUACCUGUCCUGUAUUAUGAGGUGUUGAAUAAGAUGUUACUAACAAGGUAGAGUUGUGAAUAUCAUUAUUUUAUUUAAUUAAUUUCUGGUAAAAGCUAGUAGAUUUUUUUUUUUUUUUCCUUCCAGAUUCAGAA